This is a small nucleolar RNA of Echinops telfairi (small Madagascar hedgehog), 206 nucleotides long. Its record names the gene SNORA73. It matches the Rfam family "Small nucleolar RNA SNORA73 family". Rfam says of the family: U17 (SNORA73A and SNORA73B) also known as E1 belongs to the H/ACA class of small nucleolar RNAs (snoRNAs). Vertebrate U17 is intron-encoded and ranges in length from 200-230 nucleotides, longer than most snoRNAs. It is one of the most abundant snoRNAs in human cells and is essential for the cleavage of pre-rRNA within the 5' external transcribed spacer (ETS). The record is from Ensembl. Lineage: Eukaryota; Metazoa; Chordata; Mammalia; Afrosoricida; Tenrecidae.
CUGAUGCGGAUACUCCCUGGAGGUCACUCUCCCCCAGGUUCUGUCCAGGUGACAUAGGGGAGCACAGGGCCCUGACCCAUGAUGUACAGUCCUUUUCCACAAGGUCGGAGAUCAAGCUGGGCCUUGAGUCUGUGCCUGCACAUUCCUAUAGCUUUUCAGAGUCCUGUGGGCAAUGACUGAGGAGGCAAACUGUUCAGGAAACAGCC